UUUCUUUCUUUGGCCUCUUGAAGGCUCAGAUCAAGUGUAGUAUCUGUUCUUACGUUCUCGAUGCGAGGACUGACGCAUUGAACGCAUUUUCUGGUGCCGGGAGCGGAACUCGGAGCUUGCUCCAUCCACUCCACACAUCGGCCCGGUUUUGCAGUUUAAUUGCUGAAAAAGACAGAGAAACACUU
This is a small nuclear RNA of Alligator mississippiensis (American alligator), 185 nucleotides long. RefSeq annotates it as U2 spliceosomal RNA. The record is from RefSeq and is a predicted model, not a curated record. The transcript has a single exon. Lineage: Eukaryota; Metazoa; Chordata; Crocodylia; Alligatoridae.